AUACGUAGGGAGCGAGCGUUGUCCGGAAUUACUGGGUGUAAAGGGAGCGUAGGCGGGAGUGCAAGUCAGAUGUGAAAUACAUGGGCUCAACCCAUGGGCUGCAUUUGAAACUGCAUUUCUUGAGUGAAGUAGAGGUAAGCGGAAUUCCUGGUGUAGCGGUGAAAUGCGUAGAUAUCAGGAGGAACACCGGUGGCGAAGGCGGCUUACUGGGCUUUUACUGACGCUGAGGCUCGAAAGCGUGGGGAGCAAACAGGAUUAGAUACCCUGGUAGUCCACGCUGUAAACGAUGAUUACUAGGUGUGGGGGGACUGACCCCUUCCGUGCCGCAGUUAACACAAUAAGUAAUCCACCUGGGGAGUACGGCCGCAAGGUUGAAGCUCAAAUGAAUUGACGGGG
Molecule: ribosomal RNA, 396 nt
Filed under: uncultured bacterium
Lineage: Bacteria
Description: partial 16S ribosomal RNA
Rfam family: Bacterial small subunit ribosomal RNA
Source: RNAcentral